RNAcentral lists this ribosomal RNA (391 nucleotides) under uncultured bacterium. RNAcentral describes it as "bacterial SSU rRNA". It matches the Rfam family "Bacterial small subunit ribosomal RNA", at positions 29 to 416 of the family's 1533-position model. The record is from RNAcentral.
AUUGAACGCUGGCGGCAUGCCUUACACAUGCAAGUCGAACGGUAACGCGGGGGCGAACCCUCGGCGACGAGUGGCGAACGGGUGAGUAAUACAUCGGAACGUACCCAGUAGUGGGGGAGUAGCUCGGCGAAAGCCGGAUUAAUACCGCAUACGACCUAUGGGUGGAAAGCGGGGGAGUCGCAAGACCUCGCGCUAUUGGAGCGGCCGAUGUCGGAUUAGCUAGUUGGUGAGGUAAAGGCUCACCAAGGCUACGAUCCGUAGCUGGUCUGAGAGGACGACCAGCCACACUGGGACUGAGACACGGCCCAGACUCCUACGGGAGGCAGCAGUGGGGAAUUUUGGACAAUGGGCGCAAGCCUGAUCCAGCCAUGCCGCGUGUGUGAAGAAGGCC